Salmo trutta (river trout) is the source of this 3679-nucleotide long non-coding RNA. NCBI's taxonomy places the organism in Eukaryota, Metazoa, Chordata, Actinopteri, Salmoniformes, Salmonidae. The record is from Ensembl.
GUUUAGAAAGAUAGUCAUUGUAUUUUACCCACCAUAAUGUGACCAUCAGAAAUGCAUAUCACAUCUCUCACAUAUUCAUCUAUUUGUUGUUAAACAGUUCUUGCAGUUUUACUCCACCACAGGAUCAGAGACGGUCCCCUGAAGAGAGGAGAAAGAGAGAGAAGACAUUCCUACUGAAUCUGUGUCUUCAAGCAGCUCUCCAUGAGAGAGGAACCAUACAAACAAUUGUAGAGAAAGUGUUGUCACUGUCUAAAGUAUAUCACAAUCAGAAUUGGGAUUUCCUGCUGGAUCUGAGCUCAUAUGUGGUGGACUAUGAGACUCAAACAGGCAGGAGUGUCCUUCCAGCAUUACAACCAGUUUACCAGUCAGCUCCUGCAGUCUGGUCCAUAGACCUCUCAGAGAGAAAGGCCUCCCUCCUCCUAGAAGUGCUGAAACUCCAACCAGAGAAGAAACCAGUAGAGCUGAAGGGCUGGUCAGAUGAAGAGAGUGAACUAAGGAGUUUCCUUCAGUGUCUGCCCUACAUCUCACAGCUGAGGUGAGUGAGUUUAUCCAACAAGAGUCCAUAUGUCAUUGAACUGGUGUAGAUUGUAUUUAUGUUUUACACUGUCUUUAUCUUUUUAAUACAUGCACAUAUGAAGAUGCUUUAGAAACUCUAAUUCAGUAGGAAUUUAAAUUGAACAAAAUUCUAAUUCAUAGUUGUAUUGUUUUAAUAGAUGGAGUCAUAAGGUGCUAUUAGUUUUCAGUUCCCCUACCCUGUUAUUCAUAUCAGCCCUCAUCACUCACCUGUAUGUCAUCUGUGUUUUAAACUGUUUGUUCAGAUUUCUUCCACUGAUGGACAAUAUAGAGAGGAGAAAGAGAGAGAAGACAUUCCUAUUGAAUCUGUUUCUUCAAACAAUUCUCCAUGCUAGAGGAUCCAUACAUACAAUUAUAGAUAAAGUGUUGUCACUGUCUGAAGUAUAUGACUAUGAGAAAUGGGAUUUCCUGCUGGAUCUGUACUCACAUGUGAAGGACUAUGAGACUCAAACAGGCAGGAGUGUCCUUCCAGCAUUACAGCCAGUUUACCAGUCAGCUCCUGCAGUCUGGUCCAUAGACCUCUCAGAGAGAAAGGCCUCCCUCCUCCUAGAAAUGCUUAAAAUCCAACCAGAGAAGAAACCAGUAGAGCUGAAGGGCUGGUCAGAUGAAGAGAGUGAAGUGAGGAGUUUCCUUCAGUGUCUGCCCUACAUCUCACAGCUGAGUUUCUAUCCAUGGUGGCCUGUUCCCUCAAAGCAGAUCAAGUUCCUGGUGGAUCUCCUGUCUCAAGCAGCAGAGAGGGAGGAGCAGACAGGAGAGAAGACACUGAUGCUGGUGUCAUCAGUGUGUACUUACAGCGCUUUCCCCUUCUGUGACUGGCAUGAUGAGAAUAAGGAAGAUCAAUGUGAUUUCCUGCUGGAUCUGUUCUCACAUAUGAAGGAAUAUCAGACUCAAACAGACAGGAACGUCCUUCUAGCAUUACAGCCAGUUUACCAGUCGGCUCCUGCAGUCUGGUACAUAGACCUCUCAGCGAGAAAGGCCUCCCUCUUCCUAGAAGUGCUGAAACUCCAACCAGAGAAGAAACCAGUAGAGCUGAAGGGCUGGUCAGAUGAAGAGAGUGAAGUGAGGAGUUUCCUUCAGUGUCUGUCCUACAUCUCACAGCUGAGUUUCCCUCCAUGGUGGUCUGAUCCCUCAAAGCAGAUCAAGUUCCUGGUGGAUCUCCUGUCUCAAGCAGCAGAGUGGGAGGAGCAGACAGGAGAGAAGACACUGAAGCUGGUAUCAUCAGUGUGUACUUACAGCACCUUUCCUUUUCCCAAUGGAUACAUUUCUAAACAGAGUGAUUUCCUGCUAGAUCUGUACUCACAUGUGAAGGACUAUGAGACUCAAACAGGCAGGAGUUUCCUUCCAGCAUUACAGCCAGUUUAUCAGUCAGCUCCUGCAGUCUGGUCCAUAGGGCUCUCAGAGAGAAAGACCUCCCACCUCCUAGAAGUGCUGAAGCUCCAACCAGAGAAGAAACCAGUAGAGCUGAAGGGCUGGUCAGAUGAAGAGCGUGAAGUGAGGAGUUUCCUUCAGUGUCUGUCCUACAUCUCACAGCUGAGAUUUCCUCCACUGAAGGAUAAUGUAGAGAGGAUAAAGAGAGAGAAGACAUUCCUACUGAAUCUGUGUCUUCAAGCAGCUCUUCAUGAGAGAGGAACCAUACAAACAACUGUAGAGAAAGUGUUGUCACUGUCUGAAGUAUAUCACAAUCAGAAAUGGGAUUUCCUGCUGUAUCUGUACUCACAUGUGAAGGACUAUGAGACUCAAACAGGCAGGAGUGUCCUUCCAGCAUUACAGCCAGUUUACCAGUCAGCCAGUCCUGCAGUCUGGUCCAUAGACCUCUCAAAGAGAAAGGCCUCCCUCGUCCUAGAAGUGCUGAAACUCCAACCAGAGAAGAAACCAGUACAGCUGAUGGGCUGGUCAGAUGAAGAGAGUGAAGUGAGGAGUUUCCUUCAGUGUCUGCCCUAUAUCUCACAGCUGAGUUUUACUCCUCCAUGGGAUCAGAGAAGAUGCCCUGAAGAGAGGACACAGAGAGAGAAGACAUUCCUACUGAAUCUGUGUCUUCAAGCAGCUCUCCAUGAGAGAGGAACCAUACAAACAACUGUAGAGAAAGUGUUGUCACUGUCUGAAGUAUAUCACAAUCAGAAAUGUGAUUUCCUGCUGGAUCUGUGCUCACAUGUGAAUGACUACGAGACUCAAACAGGCAGGAGUGUUCUUCCAGCAUUACAGCCAGUUUACCAGUCAGCCAGUCCUGCAGUCUGGUCCAUAGACCUCUCAGAGAGAAAGGCCUCCCUCUUCCGAGAAGUGCUGAAACUCCAACCAGAGAAGAAACCAGUAGAGCUGAAGGGCUGGUCAGAUGAAGAGAGUGAAGUGAGGAGUUUCCUUCAGUGUCUGCCCUACAUCUCACAGCUGAGUUUCUAUCCAGAUUGGUAUGAUCCCUCAAAGCAGAUCAAGUUCCUGGUGGAUCUCCUAUCUCAAGCAGCAGAGUGGGAGGAGCAGACAGGAGAUAAGACACUGAAGCUGGUAUCAUCAGUGUGUACUUACAGCACUUUCCCCUUCUGUGAUGAUGACGAUGAUGAUGAUGAUGAUGAUGAUGAGGAAUAUCAAAGUGAUUUCCUGCUGGAUCUCUACCCACAUGUGAAGGACUAUGAGUGUCAAACAGGCAGGAGUGUCCUUCCAGCAUUGCAGCCAGUUUACCAGUCAGCCAGUCCUGCCGUCUGGUCCAUAGACCUGUCAGAGAGAAAGGCCUCCCUCCUCCUAGAAGUGCUAAAACUCCAACCAGAGAAGAAACCAGUAAAGCUGAAGGGCUGGUAUGAUGAAGAGAGUGAAGUGAGGAGUUUCCUUCAGUGUCUGCCCUACAUCUCACAGCUGAGGUGAGUUGGAUCAGUACAGUUCAGAGAUUGUAGUUGUCUGUCCCUGUAUUUCCCUUUAGAGAGGAAGUUUGUAGCUUCCUGCAGUUACUUAAUAUACUAAACAUACGCUACCGUUCAAAAGUUUGGGGUCACUCAGAAAUGUCCUUAUUUUACACAGGAAAGCAAUUUUUUUGGGACCAUUAUAAAAUAACAUCAAAUUGAUCAGAAAUACAGUGUAGACAUUGAUAAUGUUCUAAAUGACUACUGUAGUUGGAAACGGC